ACCGGGGUUGCGGACAGUGUCUGGUGGGUAGUUUGACUGGGGCGGUCUCCUCCCAAAGCGUAACGGAGGAGCACGAAGGUUAGCUAAUCCUGGUCGGACAUCAGGAGGUUAGUGCAAUGGCAUAAGCUAGCUUGACUGCGAGCGUGACGGCGCGAGCAGGUGCGAAAGCAGGUCAUAGUGAUCCGGUGGUUCUGAAUGGAAGGGCCAUCGCUCAACGGAUAAAAGGUACUCCGGGGAUAACAGGCUGAUACCGCCCAAGAGUUCAUAUCGACGGCGGUGUUUGGCACCUCGAUGUCGGCUCAUCACAUCCUGGGGCUGAAGUAGGUCCCAAGGGUAUGGCUGUUCGCCAUUUAAAGUGGUACGCGAGCUGGGUUUAGAACGUCGUGAGACAGUUCGGUCCCUAUCUGCCGUGGGCGCUGGAGAAUUGAGGGGGGCUGCUCCUAGUACGAGAGGACCGGAGUGGACGCAUCACUGGUGUUCGGGUUGUCAUGCCAAUGGCA
This 500-nucleotide ribosomal RNA is filed under the name Klebsiella pneumoniae. RNAcentral describes it as "partial 23S ribosomal RNA". It matches the Rfam family "Bacterial large subunit ribosomal RNA", at positions 2238 to 2737 of the family's 2925-position model. Lineage: Bacteria; Pseudomonadati; Pseudomonadota; Gammaproteobacteria; Enterobacterales; Enterobacteriaceae. The record is from RNAcentral.